UCGAGGAUCUUCGGCAAUGGGCGCAAGCCUGACCGAGCGACGCCGCGUGUGCGAUGAAGGCCUUCGGGUUGUAAAGCACUGUCGAGGGGGGGAAAGGCGAAAGCUUGAUCUACCCCUGGAGGAAGCACGGGCUAAGUUCGUGCCAGCAGCCGCGGUAAGACGAACCGUGCGAACGUUGUUCGGAAUCACUGGGCUUAAAGGGCGCGUAGGCGGCUUCGCAAGUCCGGGGUGAAAGCCCCCAGCUCAACUGGGGAAGUGCCUUGGAUACUGCGGGGCUCGAGGGAGGUAGGGGUGCGUGGAACUUCCGGUGGAGCGGUGAAAUGCGUUGAUAUCGGAAGGAACGCCGGUGGCGAAAGCGACGCACUGGACCUCUUCUGACGCUGAGGCGCGAAAGCCAGGGGAGCAAACGGGAUUAGAUACCCCGGUAGUCC
This 431-nucleotide ribosomal RNA is filed under the name uncultured bacterium. RNAcentral describes it as "bacterial SSU rRNA". It matches the Rfam family "Bacterial small subunit ribosomal RNA", at positions 355 to 796 of the family's 1533-position model. The record is from RNAcentral.